Molecule: RNase P RNA, 413 nt
Filed under: Acidobacteriaceae bacterium
Lineage: Bacteria; Pseudomonadati; Acidobacteriota; Terriglobia; Terriglobales; Acidobacteriaceae
Description: RNase P RNA component class A
Rfam family: Bacterial RNase P class A
About the family: Ribonuclease P (RNase P) is a ubiquitous endoribonuclease, found in archaea, bacteria and eukarya as well as chloroplasts and mitochondria. Its best characterised activity is the generation of mature 5'-ends of tRNAs by cleaving the 5'-leader elements of precursor-tRNAs.
Source: RNAcentral
CGCAGCGAGACAGACGAUCGUUCGUCGUUGUCCAUCCGGACGGCGGCGAGAGGAAAGUCCGAACUCCGCAGGGCAGUGCGCCGGAUAACGUCCGGUCGGGGCAACUCGAAGGAAAGUGGCACAGAAAACAUACCGCCGUUUGGCUCGUCAGAGUCGAGCGGUAAGGGUGAAAAGGUGCGGUAAGAGCGCACCGCGCCGGUGGUAACACGGGUGGCAGGCAAAACCCCGCACGGAGCAAGACCAAAUAAGGGGGCCCGCGGCGAACGCCGCAGCAGUCGGCCCGUCUGCAGAGUCUCCGGGUAGGUCGCUUGAUCUCGCCAGCAAUGGCGAGGCUAGAGGAAUGAUCGUUAGCCGGCGUUACCGCAUCAGUGGUGACGCCGGGACAGAAUUCGGCUUACGGAUCGCUGCGACAC